RNAcentral lists this transfer RNA (73 nucleotides) under Alistipes putredinis. Its description in RNAcentral is "tRNA-Gly". It matches the Rfam family "tRNA". From Rfam's summary of the family: Transfer RNA (tRNA) molecules are approximately 80 nucleotides in length. Their secondary structure includes four short double-helical elements and three loops (D, anti-codon, and T loops). Further hydrogen bonds mediate the characteristic L-shaped molecular structure. tRNAs have two regions of fundamental functional importance: the anti-codon, which is responsible for specific mRNA codon recognition, and the 3' end, to which the tRNAs corresponding amino acid is attached (by aminoacyl-tRNA synthetases). tRNAs cope with the degeneracy of the genetic code in two manners: having more than one tRNA (with a specific anti-codon) for a particular amino acid; and 'wobble' base-pairing, i.e. permitting non-standard base-pairing at the 3rd anti-codon position. Lineage: Bacteria; Pseudomonadati; Bacteroidota; Bacteroidia; Bacteroidales; Rikenellaceae. RNAcentral also lists the same sequence under 2 other names. The record is from RNAcentral.
GCGGAAAUAGCUCAGUUGGUAGAGCGCAACCUUGCCAAGGUUGAGGUCGCGGGUUCGAGUCCCGUUUUCCGCU